RNAcentral lists this ribosomal RNA (500 nucleotides) under uncultured bacterium. RNAcentral describes it as "partial 16S ribosomal RNA". It matches the Rfam family "Bacterial small subunit ribosomal RNA", at positions 30 to 523 of the family's 1533-position model. The record is from RNAcentral.
AUUGAACGCUGGCGGCAGGCCUAACACAUGCAAGUCGAGCGGAUGACGGGAGCUUGCUCCUUGAUUCAGCGGCGGACGGGUGAGUAAUGCCUAGGAAUCUGCCUGGUAGUGGGCGACAACGUUUCGAAAGGAACGCUAAUACCGCAUACGUCCUACGGGAGAAAGCAGGGGACCCUCGGGCCUUGCGCUAUCAGAUGAGCCUAGGUCGGAUUAGCUAGUUGGUGGGGUAAUGGCUAACCAAGGCGACGAUCCGUAACUGGUCUGAGAGGAUGAUCAGUCACACUGGAACUGAGACACGGUCCAGACUCCUACGGGAGGCAGCAGUGGGGAAUAUUGGACAAUGGGCGAAAGCCUGAUCCAGCCAUGCCGCGUGUGUGAAGAAGGUCUUCGGAUUGUAAAGCACUUUAAGUUGGGAGGAAGGGCAGUAAGUUAAUACCUUGCUGUUUUGACGUUACCGACAGAAUAAGCACCGGCUAACUCUGUGCCAGCCGCCGCGGUAA